UACAGAGGUCUCAAGCGUUGUUCGGAUUCAUUGGGCGUAAAGAGCGCGUAGGCGGCACUGUUAGUCAGGCGUGAAAGUCCUGGGCUCAACCUGGGAACUGCGCUUGAUACGGCAGAGCUAGAGGAUGGAAGAGGGUCGCGGAAUUCCCAGUGUAGAGGUGAAAUGCGUAGAUAUCUGGAGGAAUACCGGUGGCGAAGGCGGCAUCCUGGACCGGCAUUGACGCUGAGGAGGGAAAGCUAGGGGAGCAAACGGG
RNAcentral lists this ribosomal RNA (253 nucleotides) under uncultured bacterium. Its description in RNAcentral is "partial 16S ribosomal RNA". It matches the Rfam family "Bacterial small subunit ribosomal RNA", at positions 524 to 776 of the family's 1533-position model. The record is from RNAcentral.